CCGGGAUGUUCAUAACCCUUUGUUGUCCGACUCUGUUACCUCCGGGGCGACCCUGCCUUCGGGCGGGGGCUCCGGGUGGACACUUCAAACUCUUGCGUAACUUUGCAGUCUGAGUAAACUUAAUUAAUAAAUUAAAACUUUUAACAACGGAUCUCUUGGUUCUGGCAUCGAUGAAGAACGCAGCGAAAUGCGAUAAGUAAUGUGAAUUGCAGAAUUCAGUGAAUCAUCGAAUCUUUGAACGCACAUUGCGCCCCCUGGUAUUCCGGGGGGCAUGCCUGUUCGAGCGUCAUUUCACCACUCAAGCCUCGCUUGGUAUUGGGCAACGCGGUCCGCCGCGUGCCUCAAAUCGACCGGCUGGGUCUUCUGUCCCCUAAGCGUUGUGGAAACUAUUCGCUAAAGGGUGUUCGGGAGGCUACGCCGUAAAACAACCCCAUUUCUAAGGUUGACCUCGGAUCAGGUAGGGAUACCCGCUGAACUUAAGCAUAUCAAUAAGCGGAGGAAAC
This 503-nucleotide ribosomal RNA is filed under the name Capnodiales sp. Af/6/1. Its description in RNAcentral is "eukaryotic LSU rRNA". The stretch from base 136 to 289 matches the Rfam family "5.8S ribosomal RNA". The record is from RNAcentral. Lineage: Eukaryota; Fungi; Ascomycota; Dothideomycetes; Capnodiales.